AAACAUUUCUUACAGAUAUUCUUGUAAGUACCACCUGCUCAAUGAACAUUAAAUAGCCGCGGAAUUUUAACCGUGCUAAGGUAGCAUAAUCACUAGCCUCUUAAUUAGAGGCUCGCAUGAAAGGUGAAACCCUUCAUAUACUUUAUUGAACGAAUUGCUCAAAGUUGAACUAAGAAUAAAAAUGUUCUUAUAACUUAAAUAGACGAUAAGACCCUUUUGAACUUUACUUUAGUUUAGCUGGGGCAGCUAAGAAAUAAUCAUCUUUGUGACAAACUUUUAAUCAAUGACCCAAUAAAAUUGAUUACCUGACCAACGUUACCAUAGGGAUAACAGCGUAAUAUAUUUUUAAAGCUCUUAUUUAAAAAUAAGCUUGCGACCUCGAUGUUGAAUUAGUGUUACUUUAACGGUGCAGUAACUAUAUAAAGUAGGUCUGUUCGACCUUUAAAACACUACAUGAU
Molecule: ribosomal RNA, 458 nt
Filed under: Wagneriana madrejon
Lineage: Eukaryota; Metazoa; Arthropoda; Arachnida; Araneae; Araneidae
Description: partial large subunit ribosomal RNA
Rfam family: Bacterial large subunit ribosomal RNA
Source: RNAcentral